This is a non-coding RNA of Populus trichocarpa (black cottonwood), 156 nucleotides long. The record is from Rfam. Lineage: Eukaryota; Viridiplantae; Streptophyta; Magnoliopsida; Malpighiales; Salicaceae.
UUUAGAACUCGAGAUAUGGGAUGAACACCGAACAGUGUUUAGGUUGCGGGACAAAUUCAGACUUCUUUUUUAUUGCUAGGAUUUGAACUUUAAAAUGACAGUAUUGUAUCUUAGACUCUUCAUGAAUGUUUUAGACCUAUGUCUUAGCUUUACAUC